Molecule: ribosomal RNA, 468 nt
Filed under: Dialister invisus
Lineage: Bacteria; Bacillati; Bacillota; Negativicutes; Veillonellales; Veillonellaceae
Description: bacterial SSU rRNA
Rfam family: Bacterial small subunit ribosomal RNA
Source: RNAcentral
GACGAACGCUGGCGGCGUGCUUAACACAUGCAAGUCGAACGAAAAGAGGGAAAGAGCUUGCUCUUUCCGGAAUUGAGUGGCAAACGGGUGAGUAACACGUAAACAACCUGCCUUCAGGAUGGGGACAACAGACGGAAACGACUGCUAAUACCGAAUAAGUUCCAAGGGCCGCAUGGCCCAUGGAAGAAAAGGUGGCCUCUACCUGUAAGCUAUCGCCUGAAGAGGGGUUUGCGUCUGAUUAGCUGGUUGGAGGGGUAACGGCCCACCAAGGCGACGAUCAGUAGCCGGUCUGAGAGGAUGAACGGCCACACUGGAACUGAGACACGGUCCAGACUCCUACGGGAGGCAGCAGUGGGGAAUCUUCCGCAAUGGGCGAAAGCCUGACGGAGCAACGCCGCGUGAGUGAUGACGGCCUUCGGGUUGUAAAACUCUGUGAUCCGGGACGAAAAGGCAGAGUGCGAAGAACAA